Molecule: ribosomal RNA, 144 nt
Filed under: uncultured Anoxybacillus sp.
Lineage: Bacteria; Bacillati; Bacillota; Bacilli; Caryophanales; Anoxybacillaceae
Description: partial 16S ribosomal RNA
Rfam family: Bacterial small subunit ribosomal RNA
Source: RNAcentral
ACAAAGGGUCGCGAACCCGCGAGGGGGAGCCAAUCCCAAAAAGCCGCUCUCAGUUCGGAUUGCAGGCUGCAACUCGCCUGCAUGAAGCCGGAAUCGCUAGUAAUCGCGGAUCAGCAUGCCGCGGUGAAUACGUUCCCGGGCCUU